Molecule: ribosomal RNA, 301 nt
Filed under: uncultured bacterium
Lineage: Bacteria
Description: partial 16S ribosomal RNA
Rfam family: Bacterial small subunit ribosomal RNA
Source: RNAcentral
CAGCAGCCGCGGUAAUACGUAGGGUGCAAGCGUUAAUCGGAAUUACUGGGCGUAAAGCGUGCGCAGGCGGUUUUGUAAGUCUGUCGUGAAAUCCCCGGGCUCAACCUGGGAAUGGCGAUGGAGACUGCAAGGCUAGAAUCUGGCAGAGGGGGGUAGAAUUCCACGUGUAGCAGUGAAAUGCGUAGAUAUGUGGAGGAACACCGAUGGCGAAGGCAGCCCCCUGGGCUAAGAUUGACGCUCAUGCACGAAAGCGUGGGGAGCAAACAGGAUUAGAUACCCCCGUAGUCCCUGUCUCUUAUAA